GGUUAAGCGACUAAGCGUACACGGUGGAUGCCCUGGCAGUCAGAGGCGAUGAAGGACGUGCUAAUCUGCGAAAAGCGUCGGUAAGGUGAUAUGAACCGUUAUAACCGGCGAUGUCCGAAUGGGGAAACCCAGUGUGAUUCGUCACACUAUCGUUAACUGAAUACAUAGGUUAACGAGGCGAACCGGGGGAACUGAAACAUCUAAGUACCCCGAGGAAAAGAAAUCAACCGAGAUUCCCCCAGUAGCGGCGAGCGAACGGGGAGCAGCCCAGAGUCUGAAUCAGCUUGUGUGUUAGUGGAACGGUCUGGAAAGUCCGACGGUACAGGGUGAUAGUCCCGUACACCAAAAUGCACAGGCUGUGAACUCGAAGAGUAGGGCGGGACACGUGGUAUCCUGUCUGAAUAUGGGGGGACCAUCCUCCAAGGCUAAAUACUCCUGACUGACCGAUAGUGAACCAGUACCGUGAGGGAAAGGCGAAAAGAACCCCGGCGAGGGGAGUGAAAAAGAACCUGAAACCGUGUACGUACAAGCAGUGGGAGCACCUUCGGGUGUGACUGCGUACCUUUUGUAUAAUGGGUCAGCGACUUAUAUUCUGUAGCAAGGUUAACCGUAUAGGGGAGCCGCAGGGAAACCGAGUCUUAACUGGGCGUUAAGUUGCAGGGUAUAGACCCGAAACCCGGUGAUCUAGCCAUGGGCAGGUUGAAGGUUGGGUAACACUAACUGGAGGACCGAACCGACUAAUGUUGAAAAAUUAGCGGAUGACUUGUGGCUGGGGGUGAAAGGCCAAUCAAACCGGGAGAUAGCUGGUUCUCCCCGAAAGCUAUUUAGGUAGCGCCUCGUGAACUCAUCUUCGGGGGUAGAGCACUGUUUCGGCUAGGGGGUCAUCCCGACUUACCAACCCGAUGCAAACUACGAAUACCGAAGAAUGUUAUCACGGGAGACACACGGCGGGUGCUAACGUCCGUCGUGAAGAGGGAAACAACCCAGACCGCCAGCUAAGGUCCCAAAGUCAUGGUUAAGUGGGAAACGAUGUGGGAAGGCACAGACAGCCAGGAUGUUGGCUUAGAAGCAGCCAUCAUUUAAAGAAAGCGUAAUAGCUCACUGGUCGAGUCGGCCUGCGCGGAAGAUGUAACGGGGCUAAACCAUGCACCGAAGCUGCGGCAGCGACACUAUGUGUUGUUGGGUAGGGGAGCGUUCUGUAAGCCUGCGAAGGUGACCUGUGAGGGUUGCUGGAGGUAUCAGAAGUGCGAAUGCUGACAUAAGUAACGAUAAAGCGGGUGAAAAGCCCGCUCGCCGGAAGACCAAGGGUUCCUGUCCAACGUUAAUCGGGGCAGGGUGAGUCGACCCCUAAGGCGAGGCCGAAAGGCGUAGUCGAUGGGAAACAGGUUAAUAUUCCUGUACUUGGUGUUACUGCGAAGGGGGGACGGAGAAGGCUAUGUUAGCCGGGCGACGGUUGUCCCGGUUUAAGCAUGUAGGCUGGUUGUCCAGGCAAAUCCGGAUAAUCAAGGCUGAGGUGUGAUGACGAGGCACUACGGUGCUGAAGUAACAAAUGCCCUGCUUCCAGGAAAAGCCUCUAAGCAUCAGGUAACAUCAAAUCGUACCCCAAACCGACACAGGUGGUCAGGUAGAGAAUACCAAGGCGCUUGAGAGAACUCGGGUGAAGGAACUAGGCAAAAUGGUGCCGUAACUUCGGGAGAAGGCACGCUGGUGUGUAGGUGAAGUCCCUGCGGAUGGAGCUGAGACCAGUCGAAGAUACCAGCUGGCUGCAACUGUUUAUUAAAAACACAGCACUGUGCAAACACGAAAGUGGACGUAUACGGUGUGACGCCUGCCCGGUGCCGGAAGGUUAAUUGAUGGGGUUAUCCGUAAGGAGAAGCUCUUGAUCGAAGCCCCGGUAAACGGCGGCCGUAACUAUAACGGUCCUAAGGUAGCGAAAUUCCUUGUCGGGUAAGUUCCGACCUGCACGAAUGGCGUAAUGAUGGCCAGGCUGUCUCCACCCGAGACUCAGUGAAAUUGAACUCGCUGUGAAGAUGCAGUGUACCCGCGGCAAGACGGAAAGACCCCGUGAACCUUUACUAUAGCUUGACACUGAACAUUGAGCCUUGAUGUGUAGGAUAGGUGGGAGGCUUUGAAGCGUGGACGCCAGUCUGCGUGGAGCCAACCUUGAAAUACCACCCUUUAAUGUUUGAUGUUCUAACGUUGGCCCCUUACCGGGGUUGCGGACAGUGUCUGGUGGGUAGUUUGACUGGGGCGGUCUCCUCCCAAAGCGUAACGGAGGAGCACGAAGGUUAGCUAAUCCUGGUCGGACAUCAGGAGGUUAGUGCAAUGGCAUAAGCUAGCUUGACUGCGAGCGUGACGGCGCGAGCAGGUGCGAAAGCAGGUCAUAGUGAUCCGGUGGUUCUGAAUGGAAGGGCCAUCGCUCAACGGAUAAAAGGUACUCCGGGGAUAACAGGCUGAUACCGCCCAAGAGUUCAUAUCGACGGCGGUGUUUGGCACCUCGAUGUCGGCUCAUCACAUCCUGGGGCUGAAGUAGGUCCCAAGGGUAUGGCUGUUCGCCAUUUAAAGUGGUACGCGAGCUGGGUUUAGAACGUCGUGAGACAGUUCGGUCCCUAUCUGCCGUGGGCGCUGGAGAAUUGAGGGGGGCUGCUCCUAGUACGAGAGGACCGGAGUGGACGCAUCACUGGUGUUCGGGUUGUCAUGCCAAUGGCACUGCCCGGUAGCUAAAUGCGGAAGAGAUAAGUGCUGAAAGCAUCUAAGCACGAAACUUGCCCCGAGAUGAGUUCUCCCUGAGACUUUAAGUCUCCUGAAGGAACGUUGAAGACGACGACGUUGAUAGGCCGGGUGUGUAAGCGCAGCGAUGCGUUGAGCUAACCGGUACUAAUGAACCGUGAGGCUUAACCUU
RNAcentral lists this ribosomal RNA (2902 nucleotides) under Klebsiella pneumoniae. RNAcentral's name for it is "23S ribosomal RNA". It matches the Rfam family "Bacterial large subunit ribosomal RNA". The record is from RNAcentral. Lineage: Bacteria; Pseudomonadati; Pseudomonadota; Gammaproteobacteria; Enterobacterales; Enterobacteriaceae.